This 71-nucleotide transfer RNA is filed under the name Montfortula punctata. RNAcentral's name for it is "tRNA-Asp". Lineage: Eukaryota; Metazoa; Mollusca; Gastropoda; Lepetellida; Fissurellidae. The record is from RNAcentral.
AAGAGACUAGUUAAAAUUUCAUAAUUUAUGUUUGUCAUACAUGGGUUGCUGUUUAAUUUCAGCGUCUUUUA